Molecule: long non-coding RNA, 392 nt
Organism: Rhineura floridana
Lineage: Eukaryota; Metazoa; Chordata; Lepidosauria; Squamata; Rhineuridae
Exons: 3
Source: RefSeq, a predicted model, not a curated record
UAAAUGAGUCGUGCAUGUAUCAUGGUCGGCUUCACUUUAGAACAGACACUCUAAGCUGGAGCUGUCACCUGCUAUGUAUGUCCAGAUGUUACAAAAGAUAACGGUUGUUCACGGCCUCAAACGACAUGUGAGACUGGACACUUCUACGUUUGCUACUCUCGUAUAGCUAUUACAGGAGAUAAUAAACAUGUGGAUCGGGGUUGUAUUUCUCUGUGCCGUAGCUUCCAAAACAGGAACAGAAGGAUUGAAGAAAAUAUGCUAUGCUGUGUGAGAGACUUUUGCAACACACAUGACUUCUGGACUAAUAAUAAAUAAAUGGAUGAGAGUAUUUCUUGAGGUUUGUGAAACCAGGUGGAUUUGCACCACCUUUGGCUUUUGAACAGUUUCGUUAA